UAAGAUCGGGAGAUAAGGAAGGUGAUGUUAGCAAAUUAACUGAUUGGUAUAAAACAAAAGAGGGAAAAAAAGUUGUCAGGAAACGGGGAACUUUUGAACUCAUUUAAACAAAGAAGUGGUAGAGGAGCGGGCGUGUCUGUCGCAAGUGCCUACUUCGCAGGAGCCAAGCCAGAGCGCUGCGACAGCUAGAUGCAGGGAGCAGAGCUGUCUGAGGAGCAGGAGUCGCUCCGUUCAGAUGGAGCACACAAUGGGACUCUGGUCUGCCACUUCCACCCCGUACUUAGUAGCCGCAGCUUGCUCCAGCCUGCUAAGGGACAAUGCAACCUCUUUGUGCACUGCCUUUGUGAUUACACUUUGAAGGGCCCUGGGCUUGUGGAGAAGCUGUGUUAUGCUGAAAAUAAUUGCAGUAGGACUUUCAGGCCAAACUUGGGGCUGGAAAACAACUGUAUAUGAACUGGGCAAACCAAGGAGGGGAGGGUCUGUGAAAGGAAAAAAAUAGGAGCAAAGAUGUUCUGUCUCCCCAGAAGGCAACAGCAGUAUUUCCCCUCUUCCCUUCCCACUCCCAACAAGGGUUUCUUCCUGCUUUGAAAAACUGUCCACACUAGGACUUUGCUCCACUUCAAGUCUAGGCAUUGUCCUGGGCACAGCUGAGGGCCCCUGUGGCUCCCCAUAAGGAC
Lagopus muta (rock ptarmigan) is the source of this 677-nucleotide long non-coding RNA. RefSeq lists it as uncharacterized. The record is from RefSeq and is a predicted model, not a curated record. The transcript is spliced from 3 exons. NCBI's taxonomy places the organism in Eukaryota, Metazoa, Chordata, Aves, Galliformes, Phasianidae.